GACGAACGCUGGCGGCGUGCCUAAUACAUGCAAGUAGAACGCUGAAGAGAGGAGCUUGCUCUUCUUGGGUGAGUUGCGAACGGGUGAGUAACGCGUAGGUAACCUGCCUUGUAGCGGGGGAUAACUAUUGGAAACGAUAGCUAAUACCGCAUAACAAUGGAUGACACAUGUCAUUUAUUUGAAAGGGGCAAUUGCUCCACUACAAGAUGGACCUGCGUUGUAUUAGCUAGUAGGUGAGGUAACGGCUCACCUAGGCGACGAUACAUAGCCGACCUGAGAGGGUGAUCGGCCACACUGGGACUGAGACACGGCCCAGACUCCUACGGGAGGCAGCAGUAGGGAAUCUUCGGCAAUGGGGGCAACCCUGACCGAGCAACGCCGCGUGAGUGAAGAAGGUUUUCGGAUCGUAAAGCUCUGUUGUAAGUCAAGAACGAGUGUGAGAGUGGAAAGUUCACACUGUGACGGUAGCUUACCAGAAAGGGACGGCUAACUACGUGCCAGCAGCCGCGGUAAUACGUAGGUCCCGAGCGUUGUCCGGAUUUAUUGGGCGUAAAGCGAGCGCAGGCGGUUUGAUAAGUCUGAAGUUAAAGGCUGUGGCUCAACCAUAGUUCGCUUUGGAAACUGUCAAACUUGAGUGCAGAAGGGGAGAGUGGAAUUCCAUGUGUAGCGGUGAAAUGCGUAGAUAUAUGGAGGAACACCGGUGGCGAAAGCGGCUCUCUGGUCUGUAACUGACGCUGAGGCUCGAAAGCGUGGGGAGCGAACAGGAUUAGAUACCCUGGUAGUCCACGCCGUAAACGAUGAGUGCUAGGUGUUGGAUCCUUUCCGGGAUUCAGUGCCGCAGCUAACGCAUUAAGCACUCCGCCUGGGGAGUACGACCGCAAGGUUGAAACUCAAAGGAAUUGACGGGGGCCCGCACAAGCGGUGGAGCAUGUGGUUUAAUUCGAAGCAACGCGAAGAACUUUACCAGGUCUUGACAUCCCGAUGCUAUUUCUAGAGAUAGAAAGUUACUUCGGUACAUCGGUGACAGGUGGUGCAUGGUUGUCGUCAGCUCGUGUCGUGAGAUGUUGGGUUAAGUCCCGCAACGAGCGCAACCCCUAUUGUUAGUUGCCAUCAUUCAGUUGGGCACUCUAGCGAGACUGCCGGUAAUAAACCGGAGGAAGGUGGGGAUGACGUCAAAUCAUCAUGCCCCUUAUGACCUGGGCUACACACGUGCUACAAUGGUUGGUACAACGAGUUGCGAGUCGGUGACGGCAAGCUAAUCUCUUAAAGCCAAUCUCAGUUCGGAUUGUAGGCUGCAACUCGCCUACAUGAAGUCGGAAUCGCUAGUAAUCGCGGAUCAGCACGCCGCGGUGAAUACGUUCCCGGGCCU
RNAcentral lists this ribosomal RNA (1369 nucleotides) under uncultured bacterium. RNAcentral's name for it is "bacterial SSU rRNA". It matches the Rfam family "Bacterial small subunit ribosomal RNA", at positions 28 to 1381 of the family's 1533-position model. The record is from RNAcentral.